RNAcentral lists this ribosomal RNA (882 nucleotides) under Triticum aestivum (bread wheat). Its description in RNAcentral is "partial small subunit ribosomal RNA". The record is from RNAcentral. Lineage: Eukaryota; Viridiplantae; Streptophyta; Magnoliopsida; Poales; Poaceae.
AUGGAAUCAUCGAGAGCGCCUUCUCGCCGACAAGUACUGCUUGGAGCUCAGCUCAGUGGCUUACGACAAGUUCUGGCAGUUCGACAAGGAGGCUCGCCAGAGGAUCUCAUCCGGAGGGGUAUGGCGACCAAAGAGGAGGAUGGCAAGCUGAAGCUGGCCAUAGAGGACUACCCGUAUGCCAACGACGGGCUGCUGGUCUGGGAUGCCAUCAAGGAGUGGGCGUCGGACUACGUGGAGCACUACUACCCGUGCAUGGCGGACAUCGUCGACGACGAGGAGCUGCAGGGAUGGUGGACGGAGGUGCGCACCAAAGGCCACGAGGACAAGAAGGACGGGCCGUGGUGGCCUCAGCUGGACAGCCACGAGAGCCUGGUCCAGGUGCAGGCCACCAUCAUGUGGGUCACGUCGGCGCACCACGCCGCCGUCAACUUUGGCCAGUACCCCUUUGCCGGGUACUUCCCGAACCGCCCGAACAUAGCCCGGAGGAACAUGCCGUCCGAGAUGGGCGUUGAGGGCAUGGACGCUUUUGAGGAGGCGCCGGAGAAGGUGCUGCUGGACACGUUCCCAUCGAUGCACGAGAGCAUAUUGGUCCUUGCGAUAAUGAACCUCCUGUCGUCUCACUCGCCGGACGAGGAGUACAUGGGCACGUACCAAGAUCCGGCGUGGGAAGAGAACGUCAAGAUCAGCAAGGCGUUUGACAAGUUCAAAGGGGGGAUGAUGGAGAUCGUGGCGCAGAUCAACGAGUGGAACAAGGAUCGCAAGCGGAAAAACCGGCACGGUGCCGGUGUGGUGCCCUAUGUGCUGCUCAAGCCGUCGGAUGGUGAUCCCAUGGACGAAAAGAUGGUGACGGAGAUGGGCAUUCCCAACAGCAUCUCCAUUUGA